RNAcentral lists this ribosomal RNA (669 nucleotides) under uncultured bacterium. RNAcentral's name for it is "bacterial SSU rRNA". It matches the Rfam family "Bacterial small subunit ribosomal RNA", at positions 141 to 826 of the family's 1533-position model. The record is from RNAcentral.
GGAUAACUCCGGGAAACCGGGGCUAAUACCGGAUAUGAGCCUUGAUCGCAUGAUCGGGGCUGGAAAGUUUUUCGGUUGAAGAUGACUUCGCGGCCUAUCAGCUUGUUGGUGAGGUAAUGGCUCACCAAGGCGACGACGGGUAGCCGGCCUGAGAGGGCGACCGGCCACACUGGGACUGAGACACGGCCCAGACUCCUACGGGAGGCAGCAGUGGGAAUAUUGGGCAAUGGAGGAAACUCUGACCCAGCGACGCCGCGUGAGGGAUGAAGGCCUUCGGGUUGUAAACCUCUUUCAGUAGGGAAGAAGCGAAAGUGACGGUACCUACAGAAGAAGCACCGGCUAACUAUGUGCCAGCAGCCGCGGUAAUACAUAGGGUGCAAGCGUUGUCCGGGAUUAUUGGGCGUAAAGAGCUCGUAGGUGGUUCGAUACGUCGGAUGUGAAAAUCAGGGGCUCAACCCCUGACCUGCAUCCGAUACGGUCGAGCUAGAGUUUGGUAGGGGAGACUGGAAUUCCUGGUGUAGCGGUGGAAUGCGCAGAUAUCAGGAGGAACACCGAUGGCGAAGGCAGGUCUCUGGGCCAAUACUGACACUGAGGAGCGAAAGCGUGGGGAGCGAACAGGAUUAGAUACCCUGGUAGUCCACGCCGUAAACGGUGGGCGCUAGUUGUGCG